This 434-nucleotide ribosomal RNA is filed under the name uncultured Lachnospiraceae bacterium. Its description in RNAcentral is "partial 16S ribosomal RNA". It matches the Rfam family "Bacterial small subunit ribosomal RNA", at positions 341 to 792 of the family's 1533-position model. The record is from RNAcentral. Lineage: Bacteria; Bacillati; Bacillota; Clostridia; Lachnospirales; Lachnospiraceae.
ACGGGAGGCAGCAGUGGGGAGUAUUGCACAAUGGGGGAAACCCUGAUGCAGCGACGCCGCGUGAGUGAAGAAGUAUUUCGGUAUGUAAAGCUCUAUCAGCAAGAAAGAAAAUGACGGUACUUGACCAAGAAGCCCCGGCUAACUACGUGCCAGCAGCCGCGGUAAUACGUAGGGGGCAAGCGUUAUCCGGACUUACUGGGUGUAAAGGGAGCGUAGACGGUAUUGCAAGUCUGAAGUGAAAGGCGGGGGCUCAACCCCUGGACUGCUUUGGAAACUGUAGUACUAGAGUGCAGGAGAGGUAAGUGGAAUUCCUAGUGUAGCGGUGAAAUGCGUAGAUAUUAGGAGGAACACCAGUGGCGAAGGCGGCUUACUGGACUGUAACUGACGUUGAGGCUCGAAAGCGUGGGGAGCAAACAGGAUUAGAUACCCUGGUA